GUAGCAUGAUGGGGGUAUUUUCUAAUCAAUUCCUUUAAUCUCUCCCAAGUCUUAUGAAACAUCUCCCCAUCCAAUUGAAAAAAAUUAGUUAAAGCCUUUCUGAUUUG
Elaeis guineensis (African oil palm) is the source of this 107-nucleotide small nucleolar RNA. The record is from RefSeq and is a predicted model, not a curated record. NCBI's taxonomy places the organism in Eukaryota, Viridiplantae, Streptophyta, Magnoliopsida, Arecales, Arecaceae.